UGGCGGUCACUGAGCCAGGUUUCAGUGAAGCAGAGCGCAGCAGAACGUGCAAAUGUUUUGUUGGUCUUUGUGAGGAGAAGUUCAUCCAUCUUGUUUGGCAGAGAUCGUAGAUUAGCAAGAUGGAUCGAUGGGAGCGGGGUUCGAAAUCCGCGCUGCCGGAGCUUGACGAGCACGCCGGCUCGCUUCCCCCUCCUCCGGCGGCGUUUCCAUGCUCUUUACAGUGCAGCCGCUCCGCUCGCGAUUAGCUCCGAAAAACCUUGUGGAUUUUCGUGUGCUGGUGAAAAAAGACUGAGCGUAGACUCCCCAAUGCGCAGCAACUUUUCCCUCGUGUAAGUAAGCCGCUCAGGGUCGCCAAAAACAAACGAAAAUGACAAAAACAGGGAUAAUACUAGGGAGCGUGUGACCGAGGCUGCCAUACCUGUCGGCGCCUGAUUAACAUUUUUGUUAA
This is a long non-coding RNA of Hippocampus zosterae (dwarf seahorse), 448 nucleotides long. RefSeq lists it as uncharacterized. Lineage: Eukaryota; Metazoa; Chordata; Actinopteri; Syngnathiformes; Syngnathidae. The transcript has 2 exons. The record is from RefSeq and is a predicted model, not a curated record.